Molecule: small nucleolar RNA, 74 nt
Organism: Acanthopagrus latus (yellowfin seabream)
Lineage: Eukaryota; Metazoa; Chordata; Actinopteri; Spariformes; Sparidae
Product: small nucleolar RNA SNORD49
Exons: 1
Source: RefSeq, a predicted model, not a curated record
UGCAGCAAUGAAACCCAUGAGAAGGAAGUGCCGUCGGAUGUGAAACUGACGAUGUCUCAUUCACUUUUCUGAAU